This 774-nucleotide ribosomal RNA is filed under the name uncultured bacterium. RNAcentral describes it as "bacterial SSU rRNA". It matches the Rfam family "Bacterial small subunit ribosomal RNA", at positions 8 to 796 of the family's 1533-position model. The record is from RNAcentral.
AGAGUUUGAUCAUGGCUCAGGACGAACGCUGGCGGCGUGCUUAACACAUGCAAGUCGAACGAGGCCCUGCCUUCGGGCAGGUGACCUAGUGGCGAACGGGUGAGUAACACGUGGGCAACCUACCCUCAGCUCUGGGAUAACCCCGGGAAACCGGAGCUAAUACCGGAUACGACCAGAUUGGACAUCCUUUCUGGUGGAAAGUUUUUCGGCUGAGGAUGGGCCCGCGGCCUAUCAGCUUGUUGGUGGGGUAACGGCCCACCAAGGCGACGACGGGUAGCCGGCCUGAGAGGGCGAACGGCCACACUGGGACUGAGACACGGCCCAGACUCCUACGGGAGGCAGCAGUGGGGAAUAUUGCGCAAUGGGCGAAAGCCUGACGCAGCGACGCCGCGUGAGGGAUGAAGGCCUUCGGGUUGUAAACCUCUUUCAGCAGGGACGAAGCGAAAGUGACGGUACCUGCAGAAGAAGCACCGGCCAACUACGUGCCAGCAGCCGCGGUAAUACGUAGGGUGCAAGCGUUGUCCGGAAUUAUUGGGCGUAAAGAGCUCGUAGGCGGUUUGUCGCGUCGGCUGUGAAAACUCGGGGCUCAACCCCGAGCCUGCAGUCGAUACGGGCAAACUAGAGUGUGGUAGGGGAGACUGGAAUUCCUGGUGUAGCGGUGAAAUGCGCAGAUAUCAGGAGGAACACCGGCGGCGAAGGCGGGUCUCUGGGCCAUAACUGACGCUGAGGAGCGAAAGCGUGGGGAGCGAACAGGAUUAGAUACCCCCGUAGUCC